CGAGCAAGGUACAAGAUGGCGCCCUCCGAGACCGUUCGCCUGCGACUCCACUUCGACUACCCGCCGCCUUCUUCUCCGCGCUGUUCAGUCUUCUGGCUCCUAGCCGACCUGACCAAAUGUCGAGUGGUCACUGACCUGGCCAGCCUCAUCCGCCACCGCUUUGGCUUUAGCUCUGGAUCGGCAUUGGGACUCUACCUGGAUGGGGGAUUACUCCCCCCCACGGAGAGCGCGCGCCUGGUGCGUGACAACGACUGCCUCAGAGUUAAAUUAGAAGAUGUUGAAAUUUCUCAGAACUCUUUAGCAGACAGUAAUGGACUCACUUACUCACACAAAAAAGCACAGAAGAGAACUGCAUGGGAGGAAGAAGGUUCUGAUGCAGAAGAGAAGCAUUGGACGGGGGGUGAGAUCAGUGAAACCUCUAUAGAAACAUAUCAAGUCACAAGGAAGAAAAACAAGAAGAGAAAAAGGAAUGAAGGAGGAAGUGAAAAUCAUGGAAAAUGGACCCCCAAAAAAUUAGGGAAAGAGAAGGAAGGGAAAGUUGAAGAUAAGAAGCAGAAAAAAUCUAUAAAGCUAUCUAAAAUAAAGACAUUGCUGCCAGAAAGGACCAAAAACCAUAAUACUCCCAAGAGUGCUUCCAAUAAAAUAAUUUCUGCAAAAAUCAAGAGGAAAAAGCUUAUUGGCCUGUCUACUAAAGAUAACUCUGAUACCUCAUCAGAUUCUGAUUCUUAUGCCACAUCAUUAGAUAGCCGCAGCAAAAUAAGUCUUGGUGGUAAGGAAUUAGAGACGCCAUCAUUUAUCACAUCAAAGCCAUCUAGUAGUUCCCUCCCAAGUGCAAAUAGACUUUUUGCCAGCAUUAUCAAUAAGAAUAGAGGAAAUCAAGAAUCAUCCUCUAGUUUGGAUUCCAGUUCAGAUGACCAGAGCAAGAUGCCAAGUAGAAUUCCAUCAUUUGCUCCUCCAUCAACUGUAACAGUAUCUUCAGGAUCUUCACAAGCAAAUGGUCUGGAUACAGGCAGUCACUUAGGAUCAAGACGGGAGAUGCAAUUUUCUGAUAUGUGGGAUAAGCCAGUAUUGGGGAAUAGUGGAAAACAGUUGCCACCUCUGGCUCCAGAAAAAACAACUCACCCCAGCAGUUUUGGAAGGGGACGGGGAAGAGGAGAGGACUUUUUCCCCUGGAGGGGACCUAGGGGCCGGGGUUUUCGUGGAGUCAGAGGACGAGGGAGAGGGGGAAACAAUUACAUGUUUAAUGGUGAAUCUCAGAAACAGCAGCAAUUAACCGAAGUAGCAAAAAACACUCCAUUUGUUACCCAGGUAUGUGGCCUUCUUUUUUCUGUUUUAUUUUUACUCCCUACAUAUUUAGCCAACUUGAGAUAUGGUGAGCCUCGAGUUUAUCUAUUCAGUAUGUAUUACUACUAAUGAAAUCAGCCAGUCAUUGAGCAUUUAUUGUCUACUGUAUGCCAAGCAUUAUGCUAGGGAUACAAAGACAAAAUUAAACAAAUUACCCUCAAGGAUUUAACAUUCUUUUGAGGGUGUUAGUGAGUCUGUAUGUAUGUAUUUAAAUAUAACUAAAAGUUAAUUUGGGGGCUAAGGGCAUAAGUAGCUAGAUGAAUCAGGAGGAGUUUUAUGUAGAACAUAACACUUGAGCUGAGUUUUAAAGGAGUCGGGAUUUUAAAAGCUGAGGUGAAGAGGGAGUGCUUUCCAAAUAUGGAGGACAUCCAGGGCAAAGGCACAGAGAUGGAAGAUGGAGUGCCCUUGGUGAAGAACAGCAAAGUGACUGCUCUAAUUGGACAAAACAGUGUGGGGAAAAAAAAAAGAAGAAUGUAAAACAAGGUUGAAAAGAAUCCAGUACCGCCUCUUCAGAAGGACUACAGUCUACUUCCUCAAUUAGCAGGACCCCCUAGGGUGGGGGAAAAGAUUGCA
RNA transcript from Gracilinanus agilis (Agile Gracile Mouse Opossum), 1917 nucleotides. It is a transcript of the gene named coilin, with no coding region annotated. The transcript has 3 exons. Lineage: Eukaryota; Metazoa; Chordata; Mammalia; Didelphimorphia; Didelphidae. The record is from RefSeq and is a predicted model, not a curated record.